This is a long non-coding RNA of Salvelinus fontinalis (brook trout), 635 nucleotides long. RefSeq lists it as uncharacterized. The record is from RefSeq and is a predicted model, not a curated record. Lineage: Eukaryota; Metazoa; Chordata; Actinopteri; Salmoniformes; Salmonidae. The transcript is spliced from 2 exons.
GACGAUGCAACGUGAAGAAUCAGGAUGGACUUAGCUGUGAGAAGUGUGCAAAGCCCAGACAGAAGAGACUGGUCUUGUGGAAUCUGGGAGAAAGAGUGCGCGCUUGUUUGAAAUGGAAAAGUGUUGCGGUAGCUAUUGAUAAAGAAGAACAUCAAGAUGAAGCAGCUGCUUUACAAGUGGGAUGCACUGUUGAGCGCUACAUCCCGAGGGGUUCGUGCUGAUUGUACGGAGAUUGUGAUAGCCGGUUAAAUGGCGCCCCUUGACAAAGCAAGAACAAGAUAUUCCCAUAAGGUCUCAGACUCCAGGAUGGGAAAAUUAACAAGAAAGAAACAGAUGAAGAAACAUAAGGAAGCCAUGAGACCCUGUUGUAUUUUAAAUAGUUAAUCUGUUGUCAAUUUCUAUUCUGAUUUGUGAUGUUAAAAAAGGGGAGAAAAAGACAACCCCUGUUUAUCUGAAUUAGCUAGGCUACUCACUGAAUAUAUCCCUCAAUGAUUGAUACAGAUUUGAGUAACUGCAAUUAAAAUUGUUUUCCCAAUGUAUCCUUGUAUUAAAAUACAUGUUUUUACUAUGUUUGAGGAGAUUAUAUUCUGUUAUAAAUGUCUUCAACUAAUUAAUAAAUGGCCAGAAGUUUUCAA